This 496-nucleotide ribosomal RNA is filed under the name uncultured organism. RNAcentral's name for it is "SSU rRNA". It matches the Rfam family "Bacterial small subunit ribosomal RNA", at positions 17 to 509 of the family's 1533-position model. The record is from RNAcentral.
UCCUGGCUCAGGACGACGCUGGCGGCGUGCCUAACACAUGCAAGUCGAGCGGGGACAAUGAAAAUGAAAGCUUCGGCCGGAUUUCUUAUUGUUCUAGCGGCGGACGGGUGAGUAACGCGUGAGCAAUCUGUCUCAGACAGGGGGAUAACGCAGCGAAAGUUGCACUAAUACCGCAUGAGACCACAGAGCCGCAUGGCUUAGGGGUCAAAGGAGCAAUCCGGUCUGAGGUGAGCUCGCGUCCUAUUAGGUAGUUGGUGAGGUAACGGCCCACCAAGCCUGCGAUAGGUAGCCGACCUGAGAGGGUGAUCGGCCACACUGGAACUGAGACACGGUCCAGACUCCUACGGGAGGCAGCAGUGGGGAAUAUUGGGCAAUGGGCGAAAGCCUGACCCAGCAACGCCGCGUGAGUGAAGAAGGUCUUCGGAUUGUAAAUCUCUGUCCUAAGAGAAGAGGGGAAGACGGUAUCUUAGGAGGAAGCCCCGGCUAACUACGUGCC